UACAGGGGGUGCAAACGUUGUCCGGAAUUACUGGGCGUAAAGAGCUCGUAGGUGGUUUGUCGCGUUGUUCGUGAAAACUCACAGCUUAACUGUGGGCGUGCGGGCGAUACGGGCAGACUUGAGUACUGCAGGGGAGGACUGGAAUUCCUGGUGUAGCGGUGGAAUGCGCAGAUAUCAGGAGGAACACCGGUGGCGAAGGCGGGUCUCUGGGCAGUAACUGACGCUGAGGAGCGAAAGCGUGGGGAGCGAACAGG
RNAcentral lists this ribosomal RNA (254 nucleotides) under uncultured bacterium. Its description in RNAcentral is "partial 16S ribosomal RNA". It matches the Rfam family "Bacterial small subunit ribosomal RNA", at positions 524 to 776 of the family's 1533-position model. The record is from RNAcentral.